AGAACUCUGAUGCUUGAUGCCGCGUGAGUGAAGAAGGCCUUUGGGUUGUAAAGCUCUUUUGUAGGGGAAGAUAAUGACUGUACCCUAAGAAUAAGGUCCGGCUAACUUCGUGCCAGCAGCCGCGGUAAUACGAAGGGACCUAGCGUAGUUCGGAAUUACUGGGCGUAAAGCGCGCGUAGGCCGUUGAGUUAGUUAAUUGUGAAAUCCCAAAGCUUAACUUUGGAACUGCAAUUAAAACUGCUCGACUAGAGUUUGAUAGAGGAAAGCGGAAUACAUAGUGUAGAGGUGAAAUUCGUAGAUAUUAUGUAGAACACCAGUUGCGAAGGCGGCUUUCUGGGUCAACACUGACGCUGAGGCGCGAAAGUAUGGGUAGCAAAGAGGAUUAGAUACCCUCGUAGUCCAUACCAUAAACGAUGAUUGCUAGAUGUUGGAAAUUUAUUUUCAGUAUCGCAGCUAACGCAUUAAGCAAUCCGCCUGGGGAGUACGACCGCAAGGUUAAAACUCAAAUGAAUUGACGGGGACCCGCACAAGCGGUGGAGCAUGUGGUUUAAUUCGGAGAUACGCGCAGAAGCUAUACAAGCCUUGACAUGUCUGUCGCGAGUUUAGGAAACUAGACUCUUCGGUUCGGG
RNAcentral lists this ribosomal RNA (629 nucleotides) under uncultured bacterium. RNAcentral's name for it is "bacterial SSU rRNA". It matches the Rfam family "Bacterial small subunit ribosomal RNA", at positions 377 to 1026 of the family's 1533-position model. The record is from RNAcentral.